UUCUGAGAGGGGUUUACCAGG
This 21-nucleotide non-coding RNA is filed under the name Rattus norvegicus (Norway rat). The record is from RNAcentral. Lineage: Eukaryota; Metazoa; Chordata; Mammalia; Rodentia; Muridae.